UUAAAAUCAAAAACCGAAAAAAACGCUAAGUGACACUGCACCUCCUUCUUACUUUCUCUCUCUAAAAAGCCCCCACUCCAUUUCCUUCUCUCUCUAACUAUCUUCCCCCAUGUCAACAACAACCGCACCGCCGGAGGAUGAGCCCCACGCGCCACUCCUCCUCCCGCGGCAAGACUCGCCAAUCAACUCACCGCGUCAACCGUCGCUUGCAGUCCUCCUAGGACGCGCCACAGGCCGGCGAGGUCCAUCGAUGCUAGUAAGAGAAACAGCAGCUCGCGAGUUAGAAGAGCGACGCGCCGACUGGGGCUAUUCAAAGCCGGUAGUAGCUUUAGAUGUUAUAUGGAACACGGCGUUUGUAGUGGUGUCGUUGACGAUGUUGAUAUUGACGGCGAAGGAGAAUCCUGAUACGCCGAUAAGGAUUUGGAUCUGUGGAUAUGCGUUGCAGUGUUUAGUUCAUGUCGUUUUGGUUUGGUUAGAGUUUAGGAGACGGAACUCGCGGAGAGUUAGAGACGAAGAGAGACAACCGCCGCUAAGUGAAGCGGAGAAUGUUGAUAGUGAAGAUGAUGACGGUAGCGAUAGAGUUUCCGGCAGUUCGAGCCGGUCAACUGUCACCAAGCGGUGUGAAUCAGUGAACACAAUGGUGUCCUUUUUAUGGUGGAUUGUUGGCUUUUAUUGGGUAGUUUCUGGUGGCGAUGAACUUUUGCAGAAUGCUCCACGCUUGUAUUGGCUGGCUGUGGUUUUUCUGGCAUUUGAUGUGUUCUUUGCGAUCUUUUGUGUUGUUUUGGCAUGUUUGAUUGGGAUCGCUCUCUGCUGUUGCUUGCCAUGCAUCAUAGCGAUUCUAUAUGCUGUUGCAGGGCAGGAAGGUGCAUCAGAUGCUGAUCUUAAUAUUCUACCGAAGUACAGAUUUCAGGUCACGGAUGAUGUGGAUAAGCCCAGUGCUGGAGCAGGGAAAAUGGUCCCUAUUGAUAUGAGUAGCGAAUACUUGGCAAAUGAGCGUGUACUCUUACAUGAGGAUUCUGUAAGUCGCUCUUUGACAAAAGAAACCUUUUUCUGAACAAACUAAACCGAAUUAAAGAGUACUUUUUAUUUCUAUAAUGCUAUUCCUUUCCGAGGUUAGUUUACGUUAUCAAAUGCGCCUCGCAGUUGUCCUAACUUUCUUUGCAGCUCAUUUGUAAAUUGGUAAGUUAUGGUAAGUUUAGAUAGAACCUUAUCCGGGGUUAUGCUUGAAACACUUUUCGAAGAUCAUUUACAGAAUUGCAGACACUGAAUAAUGAGACAAUUACAAAAUUUUAUGGUCAUUAGCUAAUGAUUAUAGCUAAUAAUUUAUAUGACCUGGACCUCGAAUGACUGGCUUUAUAUCAAAAGAUUCGAGAUUGGUUGAUUCCAGGAAUGUUGUAUAUGUCUCUGCUCAUAUGAGGAUGGAGCUGAGCUUCAUACGCUCCCUUGCAACCAUCAUUUCCACUCUACAUGUAUUGUGAAAUGGCUCAAAAUGAACGCCACAUGUCCUCUAUGCAAAUUCAAC
This is an RNA transcript of Mercurialis annua (annual mercury), 1522 nucleotides long. It is a transcript of the gene named E3 ubiquitin protein ligase RIE1, with no coding region annotated. NCBI's taxonomy places the organism in Eukaryota, Viridiplantae, Streptophyta, Magnoliopsida, Malpighiales, Euphorbiaceae. The transcript is spliced from 5 exons. The record is from RefSeq and is a predicted model, not a curated record.